Molecule: ribosomal RNA, 553 nt
Filed under: Fusarium solani
Lineage: Eukaryota; Fungi; Ascomycota; Sordariomycetes; Hypocreales; Nectriaceae
Description: eukaryotic LSU rRNA
Rfam family: 5.8S ribosomal RNA (bases 185-338)
Source: RNAcentral
AUUCCGUUAGUUUUACCUGCGGAGGGAUCAUUAGCGAGUUAUACAAGUCAUCAACCCUGUGAACAUACCUAUAACGUUGCAUCGGCGGGAACAGAGGGCCCCGUAACACGGACCGCCCCCGCCAGAGGACCCCGUAACUCGGUAUCUAUAAUGUUUCUUCUGAGUAAACAAGCAAAUAAAUUAAAACUUUCAACAACGGAUCUCUUGGUUCUGGCAUCGAUGAAGAAGGCAGCGAAAUGGGAUAAGUAAUGUGAAUUGCAGAAUUCAGUGAAUCAUCGAAUCUUUGAACGCACAUUGCGCCCGCCAGUAUUGUGGCGGGCAUGCCUGUUCGAGCGUCAUUACAACCCUCAGGCCCCCGGGCCGGGCGUUGGGGAUGGGCGGAAGCCCCCUGCGGGCACAACGCCGUCCCCCAAAUACAGUGGCGGUCCCGCCGCAGCUUCCAUUGCGUAGUAUUAACACCUCGCAAGUGGAGAGCGGCGCGGCCACGCCGUAAAACACCCAAAUUUGAAUGAGACCAGAAGCAGGAGUGCACAGGAGGUGCUGCCGAGCCCCC